AUUGAACGCUGGCGGCAUGCCUUACACAUGCAAGUCGAACGGCAGCACGGGGGCAACCCUGGUGGCGAGUGGCGGACGGGUGAGUAAUGCAUCGGAACGUGCCCUGAAGUGGGGGAUAACGCAGCGAAAGCUACGCUAAUACCGCAUAUUCUGUGAGCAGGAAAGCAGGGGAUCGCAAGACCUUGCGCUUUGGGAGCGGCCGAUGUCGGAUUAGCUAGUUGGUGGGGUAAAGGCCUACCAAGGCGACGAUCCGUAGCGGGUCUGAGAGGAUGAUCCGCCACACUGGGACUGAGACACGGCCCAGACUCCUACGGGAGGCAGCAGUGGGGAAUUUUGGACAAUGGGCGAAAGCCUGAUCCAGCCAUGCCGCGUGAGUGAAGAAGGCCUUCGGGUUGUAAAGU
RNAcentral lists this ribosomal RNA (401 nucleotides) under uncultured bacterium. Its description in RNAcentral is "bacterial SSU rRNA". It matches the Rfam family "Bacterial small subunit ribosomal RNA", at positions 29 to 431 of the family's 1533-position model. The record is from RNAcentral.